Molecule: ribosomal RNA, 257 nt
Filed under: uncultured Pseudomonas sp.
Lineage: Bacteria; Pseudomonadati; Pseudomonadota; Gammaproteobacteria; Pseudomonadales; Pseudomonadaceae
Description: partial 16S ribosomal RNA
Rfam family: Bacterial small subunit ribosomal RNA
Source: RNAcentral
UUAUGGUGGGCACUCUAAGGAGACUGCCGGUGACAAACCGGAGGAAGGUGGGGAUGACGUCAAGUCAUCAUGGCCCUUACGGCCUGGGCUACACACGUGCUACAAUGGUCGGUACAAAGGGUUGCCAAGCCGCGAGGUGGAGCUAAUCCCAUAAAACCGAUCGCAGUCCGGAUCGCAGUCUGCAACUCGACUGCGUGAAGUCGGAAUCGCUAGUAAUCGUGAAUCAGAAUGUCACGGUGAAUACGUUCCCGGGCCUU